RNAcentral lists this ribosomal RNA (221 nucleotides) under uncultured bacterium. RNAcentral describes it as "partial 16S ribosomal RNA". It matches the Rfam family "Bacterial small subunit ribosomal RNA", at positions 114 to 334 of the family's 1533-position model. The record is from RNAcentral.
CGCGUAAAGAACUUGCCUCACAGCUAGGGACAACAUUUGGAAACGAAUGCUAAUACCUAAUAUUAUGAUAAUAGAGCAUCCUAUAAUUAUGAAAGCUAUAAGCGCUGUGAGAGAGCUUUGCGCCCCAUUAGCUAGUUGGAGAGGUAACGGCUCACCAAGGCGAUGAUGGGUAGCCGGCCUGAGAGGGUGAUCGGCCACAAGGGGACUGAGACACGGCCCUU